RNAcentral lists this ribosomal RNA (119 nucleotides) under Pteropus alecto (black flying fox). Lineage: Eukaryota; Metazoa; Chordata; Mammalia; Chiroptera; Pteropodidae. The record is from RNAcentral.
GUCUACGGCGAUGCCACCCUGAACAAGCCCAAUCUCAUCUGAUCUUGGAAGCUAAGCAUGGUCGGGCCUGCUUAGUACUUGGAUGGGAUCCCACCUACGAAGACCAGGUGCUGUAGGCG